CGCACAAUUGCUUCCUGGUUCUACUUUAGCAGUAUUCAAAGCAGCUCCAUAACCUGUGGAAACUCCACAUCCCAACAAGCAAACUUUGUCUAAAGGUGCAGCAGGAUCAAUCUAUAUUUAAAUUUAAUUUUAUCCAGUGUAUUCAGAAAAUGUCGAACAGCCCAUGAAAUGUGCUAAAGUUUUUCCUUUGCAUGUAAAUCUGGAAGUUCCAUCAGGCAUUUGCCCUUUUCCUUGAGUUAAACGAAUAACGCUGCAUAAAUUAGUUUUUGGAGAUUUGCAAAAUUUACAUUCUCUACAUUGAGGAAUAUACAAAGGUUGCAGUAAUAUGUACCCGGCUUGAAUUCAGUAACAUCUUCUCCAACACUCUCAACAAUACCGCUACCUUCAUGACCGAGAACACAAGGAAAUAUUCCUUCAGGAUCUGCUCCAGAUAAAGUAUAAGCAUCGGCUACUGCUGCGCGACACUUGAUAACCUAUUGACAUUAAGACUUUAACCUAAGAUGAUCAUCAUUGCACAAAAUAAUUAUUGCCAGCCAUUCCGAUAUAAUUAAAUAGAUAAAAAAUAACCGGAAAGAGCACAGAUAAAAAAUGAUAGUAAGUUAUUUUAUACUAUGUAUUGUUAUUUAAUGAGAGAUUGAUUGAUAACUAGUGAUUUCCGCAAUUGUAGCUUCGCAAUUAAUCGUACAAUAUCAAUAUUACGAUCAAUUGAAACUUAUACCACCCUUGUCAUGCUAUUGUGUAUUAUAUACACAUUACAAUUACAUCACUUGCAAAUGCAAUGGUAGUGACAUCUCGUAGGCAUUGAAACCUAUAAUUAAUAUAAUUUGAAUUCAAGUCAAAUUGAAUUGUUGGAUCAAAUGGCCAACUAAUAAAUUAUAUAUACUUAAGUAUUAUAUCCUAGUGAACAAAAAAAUUAAUAAAUAAAUGUCA
Long non-coding RNA from Chelonus insularis, 930 nucleotides. RefSeq lists it as uncharacterized. The transcript is spliced from 5 exons. The record is from RefSeq and is a predicted model, not a curated record. NCBI's taxonomy places the organism in Eukaryota, Metazoa, Arthropoda, Insecta, Hymenoptera, Braconidae.